CCUACGGGUGGCAGCAGUCGAGAAUCAUUCACAAUGGGGGAAACCCUGAUGGUGCGAUGCCGCGUGGGGGAAUGAAGGUCUUCGGAUUGUAAACCCCUGUCAUGUGGGAGCAAAUUAAAAAGAUAGUACCACAAGAGGAAGAGACGGCUAACUCUGUGCCAGCGGCCGCGGUAAUACAGAGGUCUCAAGCGUUGUUCGGAAGCACUGGGCGUAAGGCGUGCGUAGGCGGUUUCGUAAGUCGUGUGUGAAAGGCGCGGGCUCAACCCGCGGACGGCACAUGAUACUGCGAGACUAGAGUAAUGGAGGGGGAACCGGAAUUCGCGGUGUAGCAGUGAAAUGCGUAGAUAUCGAGAAGAACACUCGUGGCGAAGGCAGGUUCCUGGACAUUAACUGACGCUGAGGCACGAAGGCCAGGGGAGCGAAAGGGAUUAGAUACCCCUGUAGUC
This 446-nucleotide ribosomal RNA is filed under the name uncultured bacterium. Its description in RNAcentral is "partial 16S ribosomal RNA". It matches the Rfam family "Bacterial small subunit ribosomal RNA", at positions 338 to 795 of the family's 1533-position model. The record is from RNAcentral.